RNAcentral lists this ribosomal RNA (428 nucleotides) under uncultured prokaryote. RNAcentral describes it as "bacterial SSU rRNA". It matches the Rfam family "Bacterial small subunit ribosomal RNA", at positions 355 to 776 of the family's 1533-position model. The record is from RNAcentral. RNAcentral also lists the same sequence under 1 other name.
UGGGGAAUUUUGCGCAAUGGGCGAAAGCCUGACGCAGCAACGCCGCGUGUGUGAUGAAGGUCUUCGGAUUGUAAAGCACUUUCGACCGGGACGAAAACCCUCUGGCUAACAUCCAGGGGCUUGACGGUACCGGGAGAAGAAGCACCGGCUAACUCUGUGCCAGCAGCCGCGGUAAUACAGAGGGUGCAAGCGUUGUUCGGAAUUAUUGGGCGUAAAGCGCGUGUAGGCGGCUUUGCAAGUCGGGUGUGAAAGCCCUCAGCUCAACUGAGGAAGUGCGCCCGAAACUGCAGAGCUUGAGUGCCGGAGAGGGUGGCGGAAUUCCCCAAGUAGAGGUGAAAUUCGUAGAUAUGGGGAGGAACACCGGUGGCGAAGGCGGCCACCUGGACGGUAACUGACGCUGAGACGCGAAAGCGUGGGGAGCAAACAGG